Molecule: ribosomal RNA, 139 nt
Filed under: uncultured eukaryote
Lineage: Eukaryota
Description: partial 18S ribosomal RNA
Rfam family: Eukaryotic small subunit ribosomal RNA
Source: RNAcentral
UGGUGGAGUGAUUUGUCUGGUUAAUUCCGAUAACGAACGAGACUCUGUCCUGCUAAAUAGAGUACUUGUCCUUUGUUACAAGUGCUUUUCUUCUUAGAGGGACUGGCGGCGUCUAGCCGCACGAGAUUGAGCAAUAACA